UGUAAGCGUAUACCAAAGUUGUUGCAGUUAAAACGCUCGUAGUCGGAAUUUGGCAGUUCCGGAUGUGUGCACGUCGUGUGCGCACUUCGCGGGGAUUGCUUUUGUGGUCUUGCGUAGGAUGAGGCACUUUUAUUAGUGAACGUCCUCACGCAACCACUUUUUACUGUGAGAAAAUCAGAGUGCUCAAAGCAGGCAUUUGCCGUGAAUGUAUUAGCAUGGAAUAAUAGAAUAGGACUUGGUUCUAUUUUGUUGGUUUGUUGGGACUGAGUAAUGAUUAAGAGGGACAGUUGGGGGCAUUUGUAUUUCGGUGCUAGAGGUGAAAUUCCUAGAUUACCGAAAGACAAACUGCUGCGAAAGCGUCUGCCAAGGAUGUUUUCAUUGA
RNAcentral lists this ribosomal RNA (382 nucleotides) under uncultured eukaryote. RNAcentral describes it as "partial 18S ribosomal RNA". It matches the Rfam family "Eukaryotic small subunit ribosomal RNA", at positions 592 to 976 of the family's 1831-position model. The record is from RNAcentral.